UGGAUGAUGAUGACCCUAUUUUUUUUUUGGAUGAUGAUGACCCUAUUAUUUUUUGGAUGAUGAUGGAUGAUGAUGGCCUGUAAUUUUUUGGAUGCUGAUGGCCUAUAAUUUUUUGACUGAUGAUGACCCUGAUAUAUUUUGGAUGUGGUGACUUAUAUUUUGGAGCUUGAAUGAUAUUAUUGUUAUUCAUGAAACAAUUGUUAUUUAUGAUGACUUAUAUUUUUGGAUGAUGAUGGAAUUGUUGGUAUACAAUUGUUAUUCAUGAAAGUUCUGCUAUGAUGUAAUCCAAGUAAUUGCAAAUAUUGAAUGAAUGCUUAAAUAAGACACCCUACAUAAUAAUACUUCUUUAACAGAGAUAAACUAUUGUAAUUGCAUCCUGUAAACCAACCCAAUUACAUAAAAAUUAUAUAAUACUCCAUCAUAUCAUGUAUUAAAUAGUCCAUCAUAUAUCUAAAAUACUCCCCUUAUCAGUAUAUCAAGGAUUACAAUACAGAAAAGUAAUUUAAGCCAAAAUAGAACUUUC
This 523-nucleotide long non-coding RNA is filed under the name Ananas comosus (pineapple). Its description in RNAcentral is "long non-coding RNA (ACOM_LNC001029)". The record is from RNAcentral. Lineage: Eukaryota; Viridiplantae; Streptophyta; Magnoliopsida; Poales; Bromeliaceae.